CGCCCGACGCUGCCGUCUGCGUAUCGAGCAACCGAGAAGGAGCUUGCUCCUUUGACGUUAGCGGCGGACGGGUGAGUAACACGUGGGCAACCUACCUUAUAGUUUGGGAUAACUCCGGGAAACCGGGGCUAAUACCGAAUAAUCUGUUUCACCUCAUGGUGAAAUAUUGAAAGACGGUUUCGGCUGUCGCUAUAGGAUGGGCCCGCGGCGCAUUAGCUAGUUGGUGAGGUAACGGCUCACCAAGGCGACGAUGCGUAGCCGACCUGAGAGGGUGAUCGGCCACACUGGGACUGAGACACGGCCCAGACUCCUACGGGAGGCAGCAGUAGGGAAUCUUCCACAAUGGGCGAAAGCCUGAUGGAGCAACGCCGCGUGAGUGAAGAAGGAUUUCGGUUCGUAAAACUCUGUUGUAAGGGAAGAACAAGUACAGUAGUAACUGGCUGUACCUUGACGGUACCUUAUUAGAAAGCCACGGCUAACUACGUGCCAGCAGCCGCGGUAAUACGUAGGUGGCAAAGCGUUGUCCGGAAUUAUUGGGCGUAAAGCGCGCGCAGGUGGAUUCUUAAGUCUGAUGUGAAAGCCCACGGCUCACCC
Molecule: ribosomal RNA, 594 nt
Filed under: Lysinibacillus sphaericus
Lineage: Bacteria; Bacillati; Bacillota; Bacilli; Caryophanales; Bacillaceae
Description: bacterial SSU rRNA
Rfam family: Bacterial small subunit ribosomal RNA
Source: RNAcentral